RNAcentral lists this ribosomal RNA (407 nucleotides) under uncultured bacterium. RNAcentral describes it as "partial 16S ribosomal RNA". It matches the Rfam family "Bacterial small subunit ribosomal RNA", at positions 30 to 526 of the family's 1533-position model. The record is from RNAcentral.
AUUGAUCGCCGGCGGCAGGCCUAACACAUGUAAGUCGAGCGGAGCGGCGGACGGGUGAGUAAUGCCUAGGCAUCUGCCUGGUAGUGGGGGAUAACGUCCGGAAACGGGCGCUAAUACCGCAUACUAUCAGAUGAGCCUAGGUCGGAUUAGCUUGUUGGUGGGGUAUAGGCCUACCAAGGCGACGAGCCGUAAAUGGUCUGAGAGGAUGAUCAGUCAAACUGGAACUGCGACACUGUCCAGACUCCUACGGGGGGCAGCAGUGGGGAAUAUUGGACAAUGGGCGAAAGCCUGAUCCAGCCAUGCCGCGUGUGUGAAGAAGGUCUUCGGAUUGUAAAGCACUUUAAGUUGGGAGGCGUUACCAACAGCAUGAGCGCCGGCUAACUUCGUGCCAGCAGCCGCGGUAAUAC